This 509-nucleotide ribosomal RNA is filed under the name uncultured bacterium. RNAcentral describes it as "partial 16S ribosomal RNA". It matches the Rfam family "Bacterial small subunit ribosomal RNA", at positions 29 to 507 of the family's 1533-position model. The record is from RNAcentral.
ACGAACGCUGGCGGCGUGCUUAACACAUGCCAGUCGAACGAAGAGCGAUGGAAGCUUGCUUCUAUCAAUCUUAGUGGCGAACGGGUGAGUAACGCGUAAUCAACCUGCCCUUCAGAGGGGGACAACAGUUGGAAACGACUGCUAAUGCCGCAUACGAUCUGACCUCGGCAUCGAGGAUAGAUGAAAGGUGGCCUCUAUUUAUAAGCUAUCACUGAAGGAGGGGAUUGCGUCUGAUUAGCUAGUUGGAGGGGUAACGGCCCACCAAGGCGAUGAUCAGUAGCCGGUCUGAGAGGAUGAACGGCCACAUUGGGACUGAGACACGGCCCAGACUCCUACGGGAGGCAGCAGUGGGGAAUCUUCCGCAAUGGACGAAAGUCUGACGGAGCAACGCCGCGUGAGUGAUGACGGCCUUCGGGUUGUAAAGCUCUGUUAAUCGGGACGAAAGGCCUUCUUGCGAAUAGUUAGAAGGAUUGACGGUACCGGAAGAGAAAGCCACGGCUAACUACGUG